This 426-nucleotide ribosomal RNA is filed under the name uncultured bacterium. Its description in RNAcentral is "bacterial SSU rRNA". It matches the Rfam family "Bacterial small subunit ribosomal RNA", at positions 355 to 774 of the family's 1533-position model. The record is from RNAcentral.
UGGGGAAUCUUGCGCAAUGGGCGAAAGCCUGCCGCAGCGACGCCGCGUGGGUGAUGAAGGCCUUCGGGUUGUAAAGCCCUGUGGAGAGGGACGAAUAAGUUCGACCUAAUACGUCGGGCGACGACGGUACCUCUUUAGCAAGCACCGGCUAACUCUGUGCCAGCAGCCGCGGUAAGACAGAGGGUGCAAACGUUGUUCGGAAUUACUGGGCGUAAAGCGCGUGUAGGCGGUCGUGCAAGUCGGGUGUGAAAGCCCAGGGCUCAACCCUGGAAGUGCAUUCGAUACUGCAUGGCUAGAGUCCCGGAGAGGAUGGUGGAACUCUCGGUGUAGAGGUGAAAUUCGUAGAUAUCGAGAAGAACACCGGUGGCGAAGGCGGCCAUCUGGACGGUGACUGACGCUGAGACGCGAAAGCGUGGGGAGCAAACA